This 253-nucleotide ribosomal RNA is filed under the name uncultured bacterium. RNAcentral describes it as "partial 16S ribosomal RNA". It matches the Rfam family "Bacterial small subunit ribosomal RNA", at positions 524 to 776 of the family's 1533-position model. The record is from RNAcentral.
UACGAAGGGGGCUAGCGUUGCUCGGAAUGACUGGGCGUAAAGGGCGCGUAGGCGGUUUGGACAGUUAGGCGUGAAAUUCCUGGGCUCAACCUGGGGACUGCGCUUAAUACAUCCAGACUUGAGUGCGGAAGAGGGUUGUGGAAUUCCCAGUGUAGAGGUGAAAUUCGUAGAUAUUGGGAAGAACACCGGUGGCGAAGGCGGCAACCUGGUCCGUGACUGACGCUGAGGCGCGAAAGCGUGGGGAGCAAACAGG